GACGAACGCUGGCGGCGUGCCUAAUACAUGCAAGUCGAACGCUGAAGCGAGGAGCUUGCUCUUCUUGGAUGAGUUGCGAACGGGUGAGUAACGCGUAGGUAACCUGCCUUGUAGCGGGGGAUAACUAUUGGAAACGAUAGCUAAUACCGCAUAACAAUGGAUGACACAUGUCAUUUAUUUGAAAGGGGCAAUUGCUCCACUACAAGAUGGACCUGCGUUGUAUUAGCUAGUAGGUGAGGUAACGGCUCACCUAGGCGACGAUACAUAGCCGACCUGAGAGGGUGAUCGGCCACACUGGGACUGAGACACGGCCCAGACUCCUACGGGAGGCAGCAGUAGGGAAUCUUCGGCAAUGGGGGCAACCCUGACCGAGCAACGCCGCGUGAGUGAAGAAGGGUUUCGGAUCGUAAAGCUCUGUUGUAAGUCAAGAACGAGUGUGAGAGUGGAAAGUUCACACUGUGACGGUAGCUUACCAGAAAGGGACGGCUAACUACGUG
Molecule: ribosomal RNA, 497 nt
Filed under: uncultured bacterium
Lineage: Bacteria
Description: partial 16S ribosomal RNA
Rfam family: Bacterial small subunit ribosomal RNA
Source: RNAcentral